RNAcentral lists this long non-coding RNA (1024 nucleotides) under Vulpes vulpes (red fox). RNAcentral's name for it is "lncRNA (ENSVVUG00000025377.1)". The record is from RNAcentral. Lineage: Eukaryota; Metazoa; Chordata; Mammalia; Carnivora; Canidae.
UUUAUUUAUGAGACAGAGAGAAAGAGAGAGAGAGAGACCAUAAGCAGGGAGGAGCGGCAGAGGGAGAAGCAGACUCCCCACUGAGCAGUGGUGCUGGAGGCCGUGGCGUGGCUGGCGGGAGGCACCGUGUACCGCGGGGAGACAGCCUCUCUGCUCUGCAACAUCUCAGUGCGCGGCGGCCCCCCGGGGCUGCGGCUGGCGGCCAGCUGGUGGGUGGAGCGGCCAGGGGACGACGAGCUGAGCCCCGGGCCUGCGCAGCUGGUGGGCGGCGUGGCCCAGGAUGGGGUGGCGGAGCUGGGGGUCCGGCCCGGAGGAGGCCCCGUGAGCGUGGAGCUGGUGGGGCCCCGAAGCCAUCGGCUGCGGCUGCACGGUCUGGGGCCCGAGGACGGAGGCGUGUACCACUGUGCCCCCAGCGCCUGGGUGCAGCACGCCGACCGCAGCUGGUACCAGGCGGGCAGUGCCCGCUCGGGGCCUGUCACGGUGUACCCCUACACUCACGCCCUGGACACCCUGUUUGUGCCCCUGCUGGUGGGCGCGGGGGUCGCCCUAGUCACCGGCGCCACGGUCCUCGGCACCAUCACCUGCUGCUUCAUGAAGAGGCUGAGAAAACGGUGAUCCCUGGCUCCUCAGGUGAGGGAGAAGAGCCCCAGCCCCGGCUUCUGUCCCCAGGGCCACCCCCGCCCAGCACCCCCUCCAGCCCCCCCAAUCCCCCCGGGGCACAGCAGCCUGGGCUCCGUGCUCAGUGCGCCCACGCUCUCCCCAGGCCUUGCAGGUGCCCAGUGUCCUCCGGCCCAGCUCCAAGACAGCCUCCAGUCACCUGGCUGCCACCCCCUCCCUGCUCCCCUUCCUUUAAUUUAUUUGACCCCUUGCCCCCCACUCCUUCCUUCCCGACCCCCCCUCUGGCCUUCUGUUCUGUUCUUGAUCUCGGCCCGGCCCAGAGGGAGGCCAUUCCCUGGCCUAGAAUUAGUUUUUCUAAAAUGUGAAUAAACUUGUUUUAUAAAAAAAAAAAAAAAAAAAAAAAAAG